RNAcentral lists this ribosomal RNA (478 nucleotides) under uncultured bacterium. RNAcentral's name for it is "partial 16S ribosomal RNA". It matches the Rfam family "Bacterial small subunit ribosomal RNA", at positions 28 to 523 of the family's 1533-position model. The record is from RNAcentral.
GACGAACGCUGGCGGCGUGCUUAACACAUGCAAGUCGAACGGUAAGGCCCUUCGGGGUACACGAGUGGCGAACGGGUGAGUAACACGUGGGUGAUCUGCCCUGCACUUCGGGAUAAGCCUGGGAAACUGGGUCUAAUACCGGAUAGGACCCUGGGAUGCAUGUCCUGGGGUGGAAAGCUUUUGCGGUGUGGGAUGGGCCCGCGGCCUAUCAGCUUGUUGGUGGGGUGAUGGCCUACCAAGGCGACGACGGGUAGCCGGCCUGAGAGGGUGACCGGCCACACUGGGACUGAGAUACUGCCCAGACUCCUACGGGAGGCAGCAGUGGGGAAUAUUGCACAAUGGGCGCAAGCCUGAUGCAGCGACGCCGCGUGAGGGAUGACGGCCUUCGGGUUGUAAACCUCUUCCAGCACCGACGAAGCGCAAGUGACGGUAGGUGCAGAAGAAGGACCGGCCAACUACGUGCCAGCAGCCGCGGUAA